GAUGAACGCUGGCUACAGGCUUAACACAUGCAAGUCGAGGGGAAACGCCGGGGAAGCUUGCUUCCCCGGGCGUCGACCGGCGCACGGGUGAGUAACGCGUAUCCAACCUGCCUCUGACUGAGGGAUAACCCGUCGAAAGUCGGCCUAAUACCUCAUGGUAUCGUCUGCGGGCAUCCAACGACGAUUAAAGAUUUCAUCGGUCAGGGAUGGGGAUGCGUCUGAUUAGCUUGUUGGCGGGGUAACGGCCCACCAAGGCUACGAUCAGUAGGGGUUCUGAGAGGUAGGUCCCCCACAUUGGAACUGAGACACGGUCCAAACUCCUACGGGAGGCAGCAGUGAGGAAUAUUGGUCAAUGGGCGAGAGCCUGAACCAGCCAAGUAGCGUGCAGGAAGACGGCCCUAUGGGUUGUAAACUGCUUUUAUGCGGGGAUAAAGUGAGGGACGUGUCCCUCAUUGCAGGUACCGCAUGAAUAAGGACCGGCUAAUUCCGUG
This 491-nucleotide ribosomal RNA is filed under the name uncultured bacterium. Its description in RNAcentral is "partial 16S ribosomal RNA". It matches the Rfam family "Bacterial small subunit ribosomal RNA", at positions 28 to 507 of the family's 1533-position model. The record is from RNAcentral.